CAAUAAAAAAUCUUUGGUUGGGGCAACCACGAAGAAAAAAAAACCUUCGUUUUUUAAAAGAAUUAACAAAUUCAAAAUUAAUAAAUCAUGACCCAAAAUAUAUUGAUAAAAGGAAAAAGUUACCGCAGGGAUAACAGCGUUAUUUUCUUUAAGAGCCCAUAUUGACAAGAAAGUUUGCGACCUCGAUGUUGGACCGGGGUAUCCAAGAAGUGCAAAAGCCUCUAAAGGUAGGUCUGUUCGACCUUUAAAACCCUACGCGAUCUGAGUUCAGACCGACGCAAGUCAGGUCAGUUUCUAUCUA
RNAcentral lists this ribosomal RNA (301 nucleotides) under Antedon incommoda. RNAcentral describes it as "partial 16S ribosomal RNA". It matches the Rfam family "Bacterial large subunit ribosomal RNA", at positions 2257 to 2643 of the family's 2925-position model. Lineage: Eukaryota; Metazoa; Echinodermata; Crinoidea; Comatulida; Antedonidae. The record is from RNAcentral.